Mus musculus (house mouse) is the source of this 8140-nucleotide long non-coding RNA. RefSeq annotates it as predicted gene, 53944. The record is from RefSeq and is a predicted model, not a curated record. The transcript is spliced from 3 exons. NCBI's taxonomy places the organism in Eukaryota, Metazoa, Chordata, Mammalia, Rodentia, Muridae.
GCUCGAAUUGAGGAUAAAAUGAACUAAUAAGUGUGUGUUCCUGUAAAACCUGCCAGAGCUGUCCUUAUUUCUAAACUCAAGAAUUAUUUUUCUCCUACUUUUUUCAAGUUUAUUUUAAAGUGUCAACCUUUUCACCUACAUCAAGCCAAGACGAGGAAAUCCCCCAUGCAGGGAAAGAUUAGGUGGGUGGAGCUGUCUCCAUUACCCCUGACAAAUUGUCUCUCUUAUGGAAAGGAUACACACAGAAAUCACACAAAGCUUUCUGAGCAGCACAGUAUCUGCAGGCUUGUCUUAAUUAUUGCAAAUCCCCUCAUCACCAUUUUAAGAUAGAUUCUGGACAACUUAAAUACUUAGCAUUCUAUUAAGAUAAUGGGAAAAAUCAAAUGUAAGGACUUUAACAAUGCCUUCCUUUAAAUAGUUUUUUUUUUUUCCCCCCGAGACAGGGUUUCUCUGUGUAGCCUUGGCUGUCCUGGAACUCACUCUGUAGACCAGGCUGGUCUCGAACUCAGAAUUCUGCCUGCCUCUGCCUCCCAAGUGCUGGGAUUAAAGGUGUGCGCCACCAUGCCUGGCUUAGAUUUUAAAUUAUAUAAUGCAUCUAGUUCUUUAUAACUCGUCAUGUGCCCAUUUCCAUUGGUUGAAGAUUAUCCCCUGCCCCACCCCACACUUUCCCCAGUGUACAAAGAGACACAGUAAACAAAAUGAAAGUAACUUAGCAUGGCAACUUACUUUUGCAAAAGACCCAAACUGAGCUAGCUGCAUACCAGUGCAGGAAGGUUGCUUGUUUCUUAUCUGAUCAUGGGGUGGUGACUGUGCCUCAGCCCACUGGUGUAAACUGGACCUCACUCACACUCUAGUGUAUUUUGUUAAGUCAAAACCUGUAUGACGUGGGAUGUUAUGAUAGAAAGUCAAAUCUUAGGAGUCCAGCAUCCAGGGUUUGGGAAAACAAAUCCAUACAUAGAAAAUUUCCAAGGUGAAGGGGGUUUAUAAAAUGCUGCCCCAGGCAGGCUAGCCAUCUUUGAUAGGAAAAACAAAACAGUUUUUCUCACAUUGUUUCCACUAGCAAUCUAUAAUGCAUACUAAGGACUUAUUGUUAAUAGUCAAGAAAAAGAAUUUUAUUCAUUAACUUUGAAAGGGGUAAAUUUCUAUAGAUAAAUUGGAUAGACUGAAUUUGGAUGCUCUUUUGUGUGACCAUUUGUGCUUCCUUUGAGGCUAGUUCAUGUGGAGGGUAUAGCUUAUGGGUGUCUAAUACAGGGUAGGAACUUUGACUAAAAGUAAGUAUAUGUAGAAGAAAGGGAAAAGUGUGUAAAUGAUUCUCCUAUUUGUACAAUAUCAACUUCUGGUUAGCUCUUGUUGCAUGUUUUGCUGAGCAUUUGAAGAAUGAUAAUACACACCUUGAUCUAUGGACACAAUGCAGACCUCAGUUCCUGGUCCUGGUCCUGGCCCUUCAGGUGUCUCUUGUCCACCUAGGUUAGAGUUUGCCUGGGAAGUGGUUCAUGUGGACAAUGCAAUGUUAUAAACAUUACAUAAGCAUCUACACGCCUAACUUAACUACAAGAAGCUCUGAGAAAUGGUUUUCCAUUUGGCUUCCCAUGAGAUAACACCAGAAAGUUUACAAAAAUGAAAAUAUGAUCAAAAUUAUUUUGGUUUAUAUGAUGUUAGCAUCAGUAUAAUGCCUUUAAGGGCUCAUGGGACAUUUUCCUGGGGUAGAGUGGUAGGGGCCAAUAAAUGUGUAAUCCUGCAAAGCCUGCAUGAGCCUAUAAGCAUUGCUGCUGCUGCUACUGUUGUCAUGAUAUCAAAUUCAAGAAUUACUUAAAUUUAGAAUAAGUUUUUUUCUUUAAGAAUGCAACUAAGAUCUUCCAUGUCUCUUUUUAAGGUACUAGAAAACAUGAAUUACGAGGGUUACCCCAAAACCUACAGAUUCAGAAUUAUCUCAGAAAAUCUAGGAGAGGGAUUCAAGGAACUAUGUUGGUUUUUUUUUUUUUUUAUGUAUUGUUACACAUAUUUUUGGAGACAAGUUCUCACGGUGUAGACUAGAAUUGUUUCUAACUCAAGAUUUACCUGUCUCAGGUUCGCCAUUGCUAGGAUUUCAGCUGUGUAGAAUGGCUUACUUCAGGUAGGGUGACCAUGGUGUAGUAAAGCCAAUCACCUAAUUUUCCCUAUCAUUUUUAUGAUGAGACAUUUGAAAUUACUGUCUUAAGGGUCAAAGUAUAUAUUGCAUCAUUAUUGAAUAUAGUCAACUUGGAGCCUAUUACUCUAAAAGAAAUAAUCAAGGCACAAAGGACAAACACAAAUCUGCCCAUUUUAUACACAAGCUCUUGAUAAACUUAAUUUCAUGGAGGUAAAGUAUAGAAAGAUGACUACAAGAGAAUGGGCUUAGACUAAAGGUGAAGGUGGGUAGACGCUGUUGAUCAAAGGGUACAGAAUUAUAUGCAAAGAAGAGGAACAAAUUUUAAGGAAUCAAUGUGUUACCAAUCAGUUCAAAUUAUUCUGAUUUACAAUUAAGAUUGAGAACAACCUCAUUUUGAAUAGUACUGAAAACCUCAAUCAGGCAUUGUAAUUUGCUUCCACUCAAUUAAGUAACUACCUAGUACUUUAUGGUACAUGUGUAGACCCUGACUGAGCUCAUCUAUAUUCUUCCAAAGUCAAGAUCCUUCUGAAUUUCCUGGCUCUUAUGAUAGCAAGAGGAUUCCGACCAAUAUUCAGGCAUUGUGUGUGUGUGUGUGUGUGUGUGUGUGUGUGUGUGUGUGUGUCAGUGUGCCAGUGUGUCUGUGUGUUUCUGUGUUCUUAUGUGUAUUUCUGAUAACCGAAACUAGUGCCUUGAACAUGCUAUUUAAACACGCUACUACUGUAUUGUUGCAAAGUAUGAAUGUCUUUAGCCUCCUAUGAGCAAAAUGCUAUGCUAAACCCCAAGUGACUCAUGAAUGUUGUUGUAUGAAUUAACAGUCCUAAUAACUUAACACUGAAUGCAUGCACUAUGACACAUGACUAAUCACAGCUAAUGGGACAAAGAGUUCAAUGUACUACUACUUCAGUAUAUACCAAGUUAAAAGCCAACCUGGACUAUACAAUACCUUAUCUCUAGAAAAGAAGCAAAUAUAAACAAAACAAAGCAAAAAUGUAUGGAUAUGAAUGUGUUUUCAAAAAAUUAAUUUAAAGACUUAGAAAUAACAAAAGACAUGACUGGCUUUAUAGAGACAUGACUUGUUUACAGCAGAGAAUCUUAAAGAAUUUUCUUUACAUCUUAUUUGGUUAUCUGAUCUCUAAUCACUCCCUUAUUCUGAUGAAAUGAAAACACAGUAGUCUUUUGAACAUGGGCUGACCAAAGUAUCCUGGCAUACAUUGGUUCAAAUCAUGUAGAAGGCAAAGAAACAAACUCAUAUAUUUAUGGGAUUCUAUAAGGAGUUCUUUUAAAGGGAUAAGACUGAAUACCAGGCAGACUGUGGCUUAUAGCUGGUAUUACUGGAAGUUUAUAUGCAGCUUAAAACACUUUAACCACAUCAUCUCUCCCUUUCCUAUUCUGCCUUCAACCACCCCCACCCCAUAUCCCCAACCUUGUUCUUUUUUAAAUUUAUAGUAAGGCAUCUUUUAGACACUAAUGGUGUUGGAAGGCAGGACAGGUAACAACAGAACAGGAACAAAUGACUUUGUCAUUUAGAACAUCACAGAGUCCUUUAAAUAUUAACAUUCAAAACUGAGUUUUGGACAAUGUGGCUCAGGUCUAUUAAUGGAAAAAAAAAAAAAAAAGAGAUCAUUGAUUUGAAAACGACCAAAGAAUUAGGAGGUAGAAGGCUUAAGAUGAAAAUUAUGUAACUGUGUUAUAAUUCCUCCCCAAAGGGUUGACUGGGGAAACAAGAAAGGGAGAAAUGCAAAUAAAACAACAGACUCAGAAAAGAUUUAUAAUGAGAGCAGUACACUUAGAUUGAGGAACAGUGCCCAAAUAUAAUACAAAGAAUAUAAUAAAAAUCUUAGAAAUGUGAGUUUGAGGUAGUCAAAUACUUAGUAAUAUAUACAAUAUGUUUUGUUUUGUUUUUUUUAACGUGGAGGAACAUCCAGAUGUUUUCAUCAUCUUGCUUUAGUGUCUAGUGUGCUGGGAUUUUUUCACACUAGUACUACCAUAUCUAGCCUUUUAAAUUCAGCAUUGAUCACAAAGGGAUUUGAGAAGAGGAACUUAAAGGAGCAAAGAGAGAGAAAAUGGCAGCCAAUCCCAUUGAGAUUUCAACAAUAAAUCCAGAAAGGAAAGAUGCAUGACAGAAGACAGCAGACAAAGGGAUUAGAAAGCUUGACAGGGCCACAGACACAGCUGUGAAUGUAGGACUUAGAUCUCGGUACUAAUCAGAUUAGUGAAGAAAAUCCCCUACAGUCCAUAUUUCCUAUUUUCUAAUGUUCAAGAUUAACCCUGUAUGUUACUCGUCUGCAUUGUGGGGAGAGAGGCACAGUGCCUCUCGGAGGUCACCUAACUACACAUCCACAGGAAAGUCAGUUCUCCCUUCAGACACCUUAGCAUUUAACUUGAAGGAUGUGCUAGAAUCCUUGGAUAUGAUUAUUGGCGUUCAGAUGUUUAUCCUUGGAAAAGUGUCACAUCCAGAAAGGCAGAGGGGAAGAAUCGAUGGUGGUGGAUGUUCUUGCUACCAGGAUUCACCUGCUUCUCUACAGGGUUCCCUGGGAAGUGGAAUUGGCAGAGGCCAGUUGAAUUGGGAAAAUAUAUCCUUCUUAGAGACUCAAAAAUAAUAAUAUUGUCUUAGAAAGAGACCAUGAUGAUUCACGAUACACAUACUGCAGAGGAAAUAGGGGAAAUUUUUCACAUAUCCACAAGGAUAGUUAACUGGUACCUACUGAGUGACACCAGUACAACACAUUAGAAAGUGAAAAAUCUAUCCCAUUUACUCAUUUAAUCGAUAUUUACAUCAGACCAACAUCUCAGUCUGGCUCCUUGUGAACACAUUUUAACUAUCUUUUCUACUUUAAGAGCAAGCCAGACUUCUGAAUUCAGGAAAACAAACGUUAAAUUGAAAUUCAGUCUCUCCUUUUUGAUGCUAGUGAAAAUAUCUCCACAUUUCCUGACCUUCCUGUUUGGUUGGAUAGACAUCCCUACUGCUUCUUUGAAUCUUUUCCACUCUGCCUCUGUCCAGCCUUUAUCAUAGAUUCACAGGGUAUAUGGUUUAUUGGCAAUAUUUUUAUAUCAAAUUAGAACAUUAAAAGAAAUCUCGGAAUUUUUAAGACAAAACUAGUAGUUCCUUUUAGCUAUAUACCAUGGACAUCUUUACGUAUUAAAGGCACAUGAACACUGAAUAUUAUAGGUUACCUAGGAAACCCGCAGUGGCUACACUUAAAAACAACACAGAGCUUCCAUGACUGAGGAUGAAUACCAUUUUUAAAAACUCUAUUUUGGGGAUGGUAAAAGGAAUAGUUAACACGUGGAGAUCAGCACACGGCUACCUCUUUAUUUAGGCUUUCCUUCUCUUUAUUAUCCUUCAUGUCUUUGUCUGCUAGAGUUGCUGUUAAGAGAAGUAAAACCUAUAUAUAACAACCGAUCAAGAGCGAUGUUCUUUAUUAGCCAUGACCCCAUCCGCAGGAUGUAAUAGUUUGGACUCCCCCAAAAACAGGAAAGGUAAUUGUUAAUUUUUAGAUCUUUUGCAUUCACUGAUGUGAGGAGACUGUGUUAGUGGCUUUGUGUGUCCAUAACAAAAUGCAUGCCUGCAUAUAUAGGCAUGUAGUAGUUACUGUUGCUCAUCAUUUCAGCACAUAAUGGUGCUUGAGUAUAGUAGAAUAACUCAUGGCAAACCUUCCAGAGACAGAGAGGGAAGAAUCCUACAUCAAGUGGUUUUCUCUUAUGUAGCCCUGGUCUACUGGCUGACCCCACCCAUUCUGAAAGCUACCAAUUGAGAUGUGCUUUCCCAACCUCCUAUGUGAUUCCAAUCCAAUCAUGUGACAAUCUUUUUUUUCCAUCAAUGCAUGUACAUGUGUGUACAUUCAUGAGUUAAUUAUAGGUAACCAAGGAAGCAUGAUGAGGGCAUCAGAUAACUUGGAACUGGAGUUACAGGCAGCUAUGAAUUGUGUUCCAUUCCAUUGGAAUGGAAACCCCUGGUCAUAUGCAAAGGCAGUAUGUGUUCUUAACCCUUGAGCUAUCUCUUUAACUUUGACAAUUAGUUUUGAUUCAAGAUAAAUCUUCUCACUGACCAUCUAUCCUGCAUGCCUAAUUUAAUCAUAGUGGAUGAUAGUGGAAAAUUAUGAAUGGUUCACCAUUUUACUUUCCAAUUUUCUCAGCUUGAAUAUUUGUCUUAAUUAAAUGUCCACUGCAUACAAACUAUAUUGAGGAAUAUAAAUUCGAGUUGGGAUAAUACCUGGAGAGCUGAAAAAGAACAGCCUAACUGACAAAUACCAAUUGCAGUGUGCAAUUUUAAUACUUUACAUUAUUUACUACUGAAAUAAUACAGUCCUGUUAUAUCAUUCACUAUCACAAAAAUAACUAAAAAUUUCCUUUCAAAUUCUCCUCCUGAGGUAAUAAAUUAUGCCAAAAACGCACAUCUUCACAGCUCAUAAAAUGAAGAGAUAAAGUCAACGCAGAGUGAGAUGUAUUUCUGAAAGCCCGUAGCAUCUUAUUAGCUAUGAGUCAAGGUCACCUUGACUACAGCUAGUCCUAGAAGCACCACUGAGAAAAUGCCUGAGGCUAGAACUUGGUCAGAUAAUCUGAGAGCUGUUGCAGUGUUUUCUGAAAACCAAUUACCAAGUCCUUUAUUACUACAGGCAAAGUGUGGAGCUUUUCUGUGUCUAAAGGAGUCAUAGGGCCAGAGCUCUGUACAAAGAGGCCUAGGAAGCAUGUUUGCCUGGUGAUGCUGAUGAUAGAGAGUCAGACAAUGACGCCAUCUAUCCAAAACCCACAUUUCUCACUUAAAACCUACUUGUUAGGUUUCAAACCUGGAACAACUGGAUGUGGUGCCUAUUUAACAUAUCAAAUUACCUGGCCAACUGGCUCUCCCAGCAUUCCUACCUGUUGUAGGGCCCUCCUGACUAGUAUACCUUGACCCCUACCCUGAACUCUGUAGCCCCGGAGGCUGAGCUACCCUUCCCAAUAUUAUCUAAACAUAUUGGUUACCUGCCCCUUUCUUCUACUCAUUGGCCUCCUGGCUGCUGUGUCAGGUCUCCUUCUUUCUCCCCUCCCCACCCCUCCCUCCUCCUCUUUUCGUCACAUGGCUCAAGGUCAUGUCCUCUCUGAACUCUCCCAGAUGUUUCUGACACUGGCUCUGUUCUCUCACAGAUGUACAAUAAACUCCACCAUCUCUAGGAGCAGGUACCUCCUUUCUUUUUUAAUUUCUUUUUGAAAUCACUUUUUUUUCCUCACCAACCCUCUGUGUUAUGCAGUAAAUAGAAAUUAUGCAAAUAUGAUAAUGCAAGUAAAGAAGACAUCUUAAAGAUGAAAUCUCAAGCCUACUGUGUUUCAGUUGUAUGUGUUUAAUUCUCUAAGGCUUGAUUGUCUUCCUUUUGCAGUGAUUAGUUAUAAUUAUAAUCCUGCCUCCAAGAUUUGUUAAGUGGAAAUAAAAAGGAAAAAGGUGAAGUACCUGAGAUGAUGUCAAUCAAACAUGAGUGUGAAGCUGAAUUCUGAGCAGUAGACUAUGCUGGCGGUGACCAAGGAUAGCAUCCUUGAUGAAGCCCUUCCUUGCAAUGUCUUCCUUUCCUCUGCAGUCUACGUCGGCAGGUCAAUAUACCUGAUGCAUGUACUACAAGGAGGGUCCAGACAAUAAAACUGCAGCUGCUUCAAUUUCCAGCCUGUCAAAUCAGGAACAUGGAGCCUCACUGGAGGGGGUGAUUACUCUCACAUACACAGUUUGCUGUGUUUCCAAGAAGCAAGUAUGUGAAGCUGACUUUGAAAAAUUGUGUGACAUUUUAAUGUUAGAUGAUUCAGGGAAAAAAGACACAUCCAAAUUGUCUGAGAAUCAGGUUGCUCAGAUCGGGAAAACAAAAACAUAUUUUCUCUUGAGCAAUUGUUAAUUUUAAUGAGCAAUUGUUAAUUUUAAUGAGAAUUUAUGUGAUACUGACCUGGAAUUUCACACGGAAAAACAGUAAUCAUUGCGUUUUAUCCUGUAUUUUUUUUUUUAUUGUCCUAAACAUAAAGGCCUCCCUCUGUGAAAUUUAAAUAGGACAG